AUUAUUAUUAUUAUUAGGGGUUCAAGCACGCAGUGCUGAAACCCUCUUGUAAUUGUUAGGAUUAUUAUUAUUAUUAUUAUUAUUCUUCUGCCCUAAAACUGAUCGUGCAGACCAAACCGUAAGGCCUAGAGACUUGAAACUUGGCCAAAUGAUAGAGCUCAAUUUGGGGAGAACCUAUCAAAGUCUCAGCCCAAUUGGCCAAUAGGGGGCGCUACAGCGAUCGACAAUGUGUUUUUGCUCAUAGCUCCUAAACCGCUUGUCAUAGACUCAAAAAUUUUACAUUUUUGGAAUCCUUGGGUCAUCGCAAAAUAAAAACGGUCACUCUGAUUUUGGGUCUAGGAGGCCUCGUUUUUCCGCAAAUUUGACGUAUGUCCAAAACCUACUUUAACGAACUAGUCCUAGGUUUUUUGCCCGAUCGGAACCAAACCACUGCUGUAAUAUUCUGUGGACUCUCUAGAUCAAUAAUUAUCGAAAAAAUGUUGAAUUUUGUCCUUCGGUUAGCUAUAACUUGGUCAUUUUUAAAAGGGGUGUGGCCAAAUAUACUAAAAAGCCUAUAAAACCUAAAUGAAAACUCAAAACUUUAUGAAACUUGGUGGAAACAUGUAGCAGAUGACUCUUAACAAGCAUACAAAGAUUCAUGGAGAUCGGACCAUAGGUGGCGCUAUAACACUUAAAAGGGCAUCAAAAAACACAAGAUUUCUACAGAAAAUGACCUCAAAUUGUAGAACAUGUUCAUAUAUUCACACAAACACUAGAU
Cyprinus carpio carpio is the source of this 757-nucleotide long non-coding RNA. The record is from Ensembl. Lineage: Eukaryota; Metazoa; Chordata; Actinopteri; Cypriniformes; Cyprinidae.